RNAcentral lists this ribosomal RNA (322 nucleotides) under uncultured eukaryote. Its description in RNAcentral is "partial 18S ribosomal RNA". It matches the Rfam family "Eukaryotic small subunit ribosomal RNA", at positions 1470 to 1796 of the family's 1831-position model. The record is from RNAcentral.
CCCUUAGAUGUUCUGGGCCGCACGCGUGCUACACUGAGUGGAUCAGCGGGUCAGGUUGCGCGAAAGCGUUUCCUAAUCUUUAAAUCCGCUCGUGAUGGGGAUUGACGGUUGCAAUUUUCUGUCAUGAACGAGGAAUACCUUGUAAGCGCGGGUCAUCAUCCCGCGCUGAAUACGUCCCUGCGCUUUGUACACACCGCCCGUCGCUCCUACCGAUUGAGUGGUCCGGUGAGGCUUUGGGAUCUGAGCGGAAAGAGCGUUUCGCUGUUUCUGCUCGGAAAACUCAGUCGAACCUUAUCAUUUAGAGGAAGGAGAAGUCGUAACA